GACGAAAGACGAAAAGUAGUUGUAUUGUAUGUAAGCCGCAUUAUAAACGUUGGCAGUUAUACAAAAUACAAUAAAAAUCCAUAUACAUACAUAUAAACGCUAAACAAAAUUAAAUCAUAUAAACGCAUUCGCAUAGGUAAAAAAAAACGAAAAAAAAAAAAUCAUCCAUUAAAUAAAAUGAAAUCAACUAAGCUAAGCUAAACCUAAACUUGUUCUCGUUCAAUCGUUAUAAUCAAGCUCCUAUUAUAAAAUCUUCUACUCCACUAAUUUUUACAAAAGUAUUCCUUUCUAUAUAAUUCUUAAGUUAGUAUUGGUGAGGUGACAAAGGCCAGCCCAAAGAAAGGAAAGGUUGCUUUUACCAAAAUCAAAGUAGCAGAAUUCCUUGAAAUACAGGAAUUCGAUACACGUAUAUGAUUUAACAACACUAGGCAAAGAGCACGCAAAAUUAUACAUUUCCACCUAUGCAUAUUACUAAAUACUAAACCUAUUAUAACUUAUUGAAUCGUAAAAUAAUAAAUAAAUCAAAUGUGAAAAAGAGAAAUGUUAAUAUGAA
This is a long non-coding RNA of Anastrepha obliqua, 553 nucleotides long. RefSeq lists it as uncharacterized. The transcript has 2 exons. NCBI's taxonomy places the organism in Eukaryota, Metazoa, Arthropoda, Insecta, Diptera, Tephritidae. The record is from RefSeq and is a predicted model, not a curated record.